RNAcentral lists this long non-coding RNA (2225 nucleotides) under Pavo cristatus (Indian peafowl). Its description in RNAcentral is "lncRNA (ENSPSTG00000017179.1)". Lineage: Eukaryota; Metazoa; Chordata; Aves; Galliformes; Phasianidae. The record is from RNAcentral.
UUCCACUUGGCUUACAAAAGCAGCACGAUCCUUCCUCACAAACUCUUUAAGCAUCACUGUUAUUUCCAAAACCUGGCUCAGAGCGUUUUAAAAGACAGCUCAGCGCAUCAAACACAUCCAGCCCUGCGCUGGGAGUGCAAAUCCGGUAUUGUAAUUACUAAAACGCAGGAGCACCCUGCGAUAAGCGAUGCGAUAAACCCUUACACGUCACAAAGACUUCCGAGCCCCCCGCCCUGGGCAGCUGCGCUCCCCGGGACCGGCGGAUCUAGGGUGGGCAGGGGCGGAGGGCAGCAACAGGCAGAGCGCUGUCCGCCUCCCGCCCGCGCGCACCGUGACUGUGCAAGAUGCCCGCCCGCGGGGCAGGUGUCACCGAGGCGCGAGCAGCGCGAAGGGUCGGAGCGGAGCGCAGCGCUCGGGGCAGCGCGCACGGCGAGGGGCGCCGCGCCGCACGACCGCCCCGCUCGGCGGGCGCGGUUGCCCGGGUUACGGCGAGGCACGGCCCGGCCCCGGGGCGCCGCCGGCCGUGGGGGAGGGCGCCGCGCGCCGAAAGGAAAGCGCCGGCCGCCGCCCCCGCCUCCCCGGGCCGCUCCCCGCCGCCGCUCGGCCCCCUCCGCGCGUCCCCCCCUCGGCCGCCGCGCGCGGCCUUCGCUGCGGCAUCGCGUCCCCGCGCCGGGCGGCUCUGAGGAGCGGGGCCCGGGGCGGCCGCCCCGCUCCCGGCACCUGCUGGCCUCCGCCUGGCGCCCCGCACCUACCACACGGAGCCGUAGGCGCCCGAGCCCACGGGGUAAGUCCAUAUGAAGAGAAUGCAUUACUCACAGGCUUCUCAACCACUGUGGAUGCGUGUGUACAAACUUGCAUAAAAGAGCUACAUCUGCUCUGGCCUAUUCCUGUGAGCUUCAGUGCUACAAAAUGUGGUAAGCAAUUGUGAAUUCUCAUUCAUCUUUAACUCUUUGUGAAUGGCUAAAAGAAACAGUUAUCAAUGCUAAAACCUGUAAAAACAGAAGAAAAAGCAUUAAUAAAGUACCAGCCUAGCUUAAUAUGGGAUGCACGUAUUCACAUGUCUUCAUUUGCCAUCUGCUACUCAUCUACAGAAUUUUGUGCUUCAAUCUGGAGCUGUUCAUUUCCCAUAAAGCAGCUAUGCUCACCCUCGUCAUACCGAAACUACUGCAUCACUCUCUAUUGCUGUAUUGUUCAGUCACUGUUUGAGGUAUUGUGAGGAUUCAGCCCCCCAGCUACCUCAGAAAAAUUGUACAAAUUCAGUUGUUCUAUAGUAUAUGAACCUCUCCAACCUAUCUGCAGGUGUUCAGGCUUUUUCCGCCAGCAUGACUCCAUUGUACAGUGUGCUAUUCCACUAAGGUGAAAAGUGGAUUUUCUACUUCAGUAACAAACAAGAUCCUCCUCAUUGAUUCUGUAAUGUCACCUUCUCAGUUUCAGCUUCAGAUCCUGGCAGUGGACCCUGCUGAACAGAAUUCUGGUUGCUCAGAACGAGUGUGUCAGCGGGACUCCAAAUAAUGGCUGUAACGUGACAAAUUGGAUGGCAGAUGUUGAGCAGCAAAGGCAACGACAAACCCUAUGGAGGCAUGCCCUCUGCUGAGGCUUCACAGGAUCUUGAUAAACCCAACGGAACAGCUGUUGCACGGCUUGGCACUGUGCCUUUACCAGGCACACUUGGACCCAUGACAUACUUUGCUUGCUAAGUAUCUAGAUCCAACUUUCAACUAAUAUUAUUAUAGCAGGAUGGUAAGACAGUAAUGUGAUGUACUUCAAAUAAUUUCAAACAGCCAUUUGGAUUAAAACUGUGAUCCAUGUGACCCACAUUCUGUUCAAAAGCUGCCACCAGUAAAGGCCCCAUUUUCAAAAUCUCAUCCUCAUUCAGGAUGUAUUUGAUACAUAUGGGAUCCUUAAGGCUAUUCAGUCUGUGUAUCUACUGCAAUCUCAUCAUAUUUCUCUCACUGAACCCACAAAACUGUUGCAAGAGAGUAAUUGGUUAGUCCUCUCUUUUCUUGUACUACAUAAGCUCUGCCCAUAGAUCAAAAAAUCUUAUAUGUGUACUGUCCUCUUAAAGCAAAUACAGUCAUAAACCUUUGUAUAUAGGGUUGUGGAGACGUGACAGAUAUCUAGUAAUAGUUCAGAAAUAAAUAUCAGUUGGCACCACUGUCUACCUGUUUUAUAUCAUUGUAAGUAACUGUACACAGUUAAAAGAAAUGAAUAAAAGCAAUGACAGA